AAAUUCCUGAUGCUGAGUCCGAAUCUCCUUCCUUGUAACUUGAAUCCAUUGAUUCGGGUCCUACCCUCCAGAACAGGAGAAAACAUCUUUCAUGUGACGGCCCUUGAGAUAUUUGAAGAUGGCUAUCAUAUCUCCUUUCAACAUCCUCUUUUCCAGACAAAACAUACCCAGCUCCUUCAAUCGUUCCUCAUCAGGCUUGGUUUCUGGACAGA
Podarcis lilfordi (Lilford's wall lizard) is the source of this 212-nucleotide non-coding RNA. NCBI's taxonomy places the organism in Eukaryota, Metazoa, Chordata, Lepidosauria, Squamata, Lacertidae. The record is from the annotation of a GenBank genome assembly.